CGUAGGGUGCGAGCGUUAAUCGGAAUUACUGGGCGUAAAGCGUGCGCAGGCGGUUAUAUAAGACAGAUGUGAAAUCCCCGGGCUCAACCUGGGAACUGCAUUUGUGACUGUAUAGCUAGAGUACGGCAGAGGGGGAUGGAAUUCCGCGUGUAGCAGUGAAAUGCGUAGAUAUGCGGAGGAACACCGAUGGCGAAGGCAAUCCCCUGGGCCUGUACUGACGCUCAUGCACGAAAGCGUGGGGAGCAAACAGGAUUAGAUACCCUGGUAGUCCACGCCCUAAACGAUGUCAACUGGUUGUUGGGUCUUCACUGACUCAGUAACGAAGCUAACGCGUGAAGUUGACCGCCUGGGGAUACGGCCGCAAGGUUG
Molecule: ribosomal RNA, 369 nt
Filed under: uncultured organism
Description: bacterial SSU rRNA
Rfam family: Bacterial small subunit ribosomal RNA
Source: RNAcentral